RNAcentral lists this signal recognition particle RNA (99 nucleotides) under Acidimicrobiaceae bacterium. RNAcentral describes it as "signal recognition particle sRNA small type". It matches the Rfam family "Bacterial small signal recognition particle RNA". Rfam says of the family: The signal recognition particle (SRP) is a universally conserved ribonucleoprotein involved in the co-translational targeting of proteins to membranes. Archaeal SRP consists of a 7S RNA and homologues of the eukaryotic SRP19 and SRP54 proteins. The record is from RNAcentral. Lineage: Bacteria; Bacillati; Actinomycetota; Acidimicrobiia; Acidimicrobiales; Acidimicrobiaceae.
GGCUGGGCCCUGCGCGGCGUAGGUCGGUGAACCGGGUCAGGGCCGGAAGGCAGCAGCCCUCAGCCGCUUCCUACGGGUGCCGCAGUAAGCCUGGCCGUC